This 653-nucleotide non-coding RNA is filed under the name Pongo abelii (Sumatran orangutan). The record is from RNAcentral. Lineage: Eukaryota; Metazoa; Chordata; Mammalia; Primates; Hominidae.
GCCACGUGGGCCGCGCGGAGAACGCGCCAGGCUCAUCACCUGGAUCAUCGUGCCUCAGUUUCCCCCUCGGCAAAUGGGGCUUCAGCGGCUCGCGACGCACAUUGAUGGAGCGUAUGUCCAGGCGCCGGUGCACCGCAAGGAGCAAAACAGACACAGUCCUUGGUCCCAGGGCUCACGUCCUGGGGCGAAGAGGAUCCUCCAUAAACGAUCAGCCAUAACAGCGGUGAUUGGACAAGAGACUGAUUUCGGUGACUUUCUCCUGAUAAGAGACCACCGACCAGCUGACCCCGCCGACCAGCUGACCCGUUUAUAGAGAGAGAUGAUGCAUCUGCAUGCCUUUGUGUCCUGAAAAGACCUUUUGCCAUAAAGGCCCUAAUUGUAAGAUGUGUAAAUGUUAAGUCUCCACCCCAAAGUGAACAUGGGUCAUAUAUUACAUGCUUUGCUCAAUAAGAGGGCAUGUGUCAGGACCGCCUUCAUGAAUAUUCAUAGCUCCUCCUGUAACCUGUUGAAUAUGUAUGUUUAGCCAAUCCCUUCAGCAUAGCGCUCCUGCCCCAACCCCUCCUCCUUGGAAGUGCCUGUCUCUGGCCUUGGCUGGAGACAGAUUCCCAGCCUCACAACCGUUUACAAGAAAUAAAGCCUUCUCUUUUUCCAAA